AGCGAACCCUUCGGGGUUAGCGGCGGACGGGUGAGUAACGCGUGGGAAUAUGCCCUUUGCUACGGAAUAGCCCCGGGAAACUGGGAGUAAUACCGUAUACGCCCUUUGGGGGAAAGAUUUAUCGGCAAAGGAUUAGCCCGCGUUGGAUUAGGUAGUUGGUGGGGUAAUGGCCUACCAAGCCGACGAUCCAUAGCUGGUUUGAGAGGAUGAUCAGCCACACUGGGACUGAGACACGGCCCAGACUCCUACGGGAGGCAGCAGUGGGGAAUCUUAGACAAUGGGGGCAACCCUGAUCUAGCCAUGCCGCGUGAGUGAUGAAGGCCCUAGGGUUGUAAAGCUCUUUCAGCUGGGAAGAUAAUGACGGUACCAGCAGAAGAAGCCCCGGCUAACUCCGUGCCAGCAGCCGCGGUAAUACGGAGGGGGCUAGCGUUGUUCGGAAUUACUGGGCGUAAAGCGCACGUAGGCGGACCGGAAAGUUGGGGGUGAAAUCCCGGGGCUCAACCUCGGAACUGCCUUCAAAACUAUCGGUCUGGAGUUCGAGAGAGGUGAGUGGAAUUCCGAGUGUAGAGGUGAAAUUCGUAGAUAUUCGGAGGAACACCAGUGGCGAAGGAGGCUCUCUGGCUCGAUACUGACGCUGAGGUGCGAAAGCG
RNAcentral lists this ribosomal RNA (650 nucleotides) under uncultured Paracoccus sp. Its description in RNAcentral is "bacterial SSU rRNA". It matches the Rfam family "Bacterial small subunit ribosomal RNA", at positions 65 to 761 of the family's 1533-position model. The record is from RNAcentral. Lineage: Bacteria; Pseudomonadati; Pseudomonadota; Alphaproteobacteria; Rhodobacterales; Paracoccaceae.